Molecule: ribosomal RNA, 456 nt
Filed under: Escherichia coli
Lineage: Bacteria; Pseudomonadati; Pseudomonadota; Gammaproteobacteria; Enterobacterales; Enterobacteriaceae
Description: bacterial SSU rRNA
Rfam family: Bacterial small subunit ribosomal RNA
Source: RNAcentral
AUUGAACGCUGGCGGCAGGCCUAACACAUGCAAGUCGAACGGUAACAGGAAGAAGCUUGCUUCUUUGCUGACGAGUGGCGGACGGGUGAGUAAUGUCUGGGAAACUGCCUGGUGGAGGGGGAUAACUACUGGAAACGGUAGCUAAUACCGCAUAACGUCGCAAGACCAAAGAGGGGGACCUUCGGGCCUCUUGCCAUCGGAUGUGCCCAGAUGGGAUUAGCUAGUAGGUGGGGUAACGGCUCACCUAGGCGACGAUCCCUAGCUGGUCUGAGAGGAUGACCAGCCACACUGGAACUGAGACACGGUCCAGACUCCUACGGGAGGCAGCAGUGGGGAAUAUUGCACAAUGGGCGCAAGCCUGAUGCAGCCAUGCCGCGUGUAUGAAGAAGGCCUUCGGGUUGUAAAGUACUUUCAGCGGGGAGGAAGGGAGUAAAGUUAAUACCUUGCUCAUUGACG